AAUGAACGCUGGCGGCAUGCCUUACACAUGCAAGUCGAACGGCGGCAUGACCUAGCUUGCUAGGUUGAUGGCGAGUGGCGAACGGGUGGGUAAUGCAUCGGAACGUGCCUUUUAGUGGGGGAUAACGUAGCGAAAGUUACGCUAAUACCGCAUAUUCUCUGAGGAGGAAAGCAGGGGACCUUCGGGCCUUGCGCUAGAAGAGCGGCCGAUGUCGGAUUAGCUAGUUGGUGGGGUAAAGGCUCACCAAGGCAGCGAUCCGUAGCGGGUCUGAGAGGAUGAUCCGCCACACUGGGACUGAGACAAGGCCCAGACUCCUACGGGAGGCAGCAGUGGGGAAUUUUGGACAAUAGGCGCAAGCCUGAUCCAGCCAUGCCGCGUGAGUGAAGAAGGCCUUCGGGUUGUAGAGCUCUUUCGGCUGGGAAGAAAUCGCACCCUCUCAUACAGGGUGUGGAUGACGGUACCAGCAUAAGAAGCACCGGCUAACUACGUG
Molecule: ribosomal RNA, 490 nt
Filed under: uncultured bacterium
Lineage: Bacteria
Description: partial 16S ribosomal RNA
Rfam family: Bacterial small subunit ribosomal RNA
Source: RNAcentral